GUGCGGGUCCUGUGCGACAGGGGACCGUGAACCAUGUCAGGCGGGGAACCGAGCAGCAUUAAGCGGUUAUACCUGUGCGCCGCAGUCAAUCUGCACAUU
Molecule: signal recognition particle RNA, 99 nt
Filed under: Clostridia bacterium
Lineage: Bacteria; Bacillati; Bacillota; Clostridia
Description: signal recognition particle sRNA small type
Rfam family: Bacterial small signal recognition particle RNA
About the family: The signal recognition particle (SRP) is a universally conserved ribonucleoprotein involved in the co-translational targeting of proteins to membranes. Archaeal SRP consists of a 7S RNA and homologues of the eukaryotic SRP19 and SRP54 proteins. In most bacteria, the SRP consists of a 4.5S RNA and the Ffh protein (a homologue of the eukaryotic SRP54 protein).
Source: RNAcentral